This 383-nucleotide ribosomal RNA is filed under the name Aleurotrachelus camelliae. RNAcentral's name for it is "partial large subunit ribosomal RNA". Lineage: Eukaryota; Metazoa; Arthropoda; Insecta; Hemiptera; Aleyrodidae. The record is from RNAcentral.
UUAAUCCAACAUCGAGGUUGUAAUAAAUUCUAUAAAUUUGAUCUUUCAAGAAAUUUUACGCUGUUAUCCAUUAGGUAAUUUAAUUUUAUUUCAAACGUUGGAUUAUAAUUAUAUUCAGUAAUUUAGUGGUAACUGAAAACAAAAGAUGUUAGUUUUGUGGUCUCCCCAACCAAACACUUUUCACCCCGCAACGGAGACUACUAGUGUGAAACUGUAAAGGGUUUUCUUGUCUUUUAAAUUUAACAUUUAAGAUUUUUAACUUAAAUAUUAAAUUUUACUUUUUAAUAAUUAAAAAGGUAACAUUUCAUGGUAUCUUUCAUUGUAUUUUUUAAUUAAAAAACAAUUUAUUUUGGCACCUUAGUACAGUUAAGUUACUGCAGCUA